This 472-nucleotide ribosomal RNA is filed under the name uncultured bacterium. RNAcentral describes it as "bacterial SSU rRNA". It matches the Rfam family "Bacterial small subunit ribosomal RNA", at positions 355 to 825 of the family's 1533-position model. The record is from RNAcentral.
UGGGGAAUAUUGGACAAUGGGCGAAAGCCUGAUCCAGCCAUGCCGCGUGUGUGAAGAAGGUCUUCGGAUUGUAAAGCACUUUAAGUUGGGAGGAAGGGCAGUUACCUAAUACGUAUCUGUUUUGACGUUACCGACAGAAUAAGCACCGGCUAACUCUGUGCCAGCAGCCGCGGUAAUACAGAGGGUGCAAGCGUUAAUCGGAAUUACUGGGCGUAAAGCGCGCGUAGGUGGUUUGUUAAGUUGGAUGUGAAAUCCCCGGGCUCAACCUGGGAACUGCAUUCAAAACUGACUGACUAGAGUAUGGUAGAGGGUGGUGGAAUUUCCUGUGUAGCGGUGAAAUGCGUAGAUAUAGGAAGGAACACCAGUGGCGAAGGCGACCACCUGGACUGAUACUGACACUGAGGUGCGAAAGCGUGGGGAGCAAACAGGAUUAGAUACCCCCGUAGUCCCUGAGCGGGCUGGCAAGGCGCAU